Molecule: ribosomal RNA, 459 nt
Filed under: uncultured bacterium
Lineage: Bacteria
Description: partial 16S ribosomal RNA
Rfam family: Bacterial small subunit ribosomal RNA
Source: RNAcentral
CCUACGGGUGACAGCAGUGAGGAAUAUUGGUCAAUGGGCGCGAGCCUGAACCAGCCAAGUCGCGUGAGGGAAGAAGGUCCUAUGGAUUGUAAACCUCUUUUGUAGGGGAGCAAAAGACUCCACGCGUGGCGUUCCGAGAGUACCCGAAGAAAAAGCGUCGGCUAAGUCCGUGCCAGCAGCCGCGGUAAUACGGAGGAUGCGAGCGUUAUCCGGAUUUAUUGGGUUUAAAGGGUGCGCAGGCGGAAGAUCAAGUCAGCGGUAAAAUUGAGAGGCUCAACCUCUUCGAGCCGUUGAAACUGGUUGUCUUGAGUGAGUGAGAAGUAUGCAGAAUGCGUGGUGUAGCGGUGAAAUGCAUAGAUAUCACGCAGAACUCCGAUUGCGAAGGCAGCAUACCGGCGCUCAACUGACGCUGAUGCACGAAGGUGUGGGUAUCGAACAGGAUUAGAUACCCUGGUAGUC